RNAcentral lists this ribosomal RNA (253 nucleotides) under uncultured bacterium. RNAcentral's name for it is "partial 16S ribosomal RNA". It matches the Rfam family "Bacterial small subunit ribosomal RNA", at positions 524 to 776 of the family's 1533-position model. The record is from RNAcentral.
UACGAAGGGGGCUAGCGUUGUUCGGAAUCACUGGGCUUACAGGGUGCGUAGGCGGCUCAACAAGUCAGGUGUGAAAGCCCCCGGCUCAACCGGGGAACUGCGCUUGAAACUGUUAGGCUCGAGUCAGCUAGAGGUACACGGAACUUCCAGUGGAGCGGUGAAAUGUGUUGAUAUUGGAAGGAACACCGGAGGCGAAAGCGGUGUACUGGGGCUGGUCUGACGCUGAGGCACGAAAGCCAGGGGAGCGAACGGG